AUAGCAAGCUAGCAACGAAAGAUGUUAUAUUUGUCUAUUCAAUUAGCCAGAUUCGAAGUGAGAACUUUAUGCCAAGCUAUUAGAACUUCAUUCAUUUGUGCUAUAUGGGCAGUAGUUAAUAAAAAAAAAUUUCUUUCAAUUUUGGUGGUUGGAGUUUGAGAUUAGGUGGUGGGUGUGUCCGCGCGGUUGUGAGUUGCAGUUGUCCCCCUGG
Molecule: long non-coding RNA, 211 nt
Filed under: Malus domestica (apple)
Lineage: Eukaryota; Viridiplantae; Streptophyta; Magnoliopsida; Rosales; Rosaceae
Description: long non-coding RNA (MDOM_LNC014939)
Source: RNAcentral